This 253-nucleotide ribosomal RNA is filed under the name uncultured bacterium. RNAcentral's name for it is "partial 16S ribosomal RNA". It matches the Rfam family "Bacterial small subunit ribosomal RNA", at positions 524 to 776 of the family's 1533-position model. The record is from RNAcentral.
CACGUAGGAGGCGAGCGUUGUCCGGAAUCAUUGGGCGUAAAGAGCGCGCAGGCGGCUUGGCAAGUCGGGUGUGAAAUCCCGGGGCUCAACCCCGGGACUGCAUUCGAUACUGUCAGGCUAGAGGUAGGUAGGGGAGAUCGGAAUUCCUGGUGUAGCGGUGAAAUGCGCAGAUAUCAGGAGGAACACCGGUGGCGAAGGCGGAUCUCUGGGCCUGAUCUGACGCUGAGGCGCGAAAGCUAGGGGAGCGAACAGG